UGUUGACUUGUUUAAUUAAAGGUGUGUACUGCCACAGCAAGCCUUGCAGCUCAUGAGCCCCAGAUUGCCUACCCUGAGACCUGGGGAUAAGUUUGACUGUGGACAUUG
Cynocephalus volans (Philippine flying lemur) is the source of this 108-nucleotide small nucleolar RNA. RefSeq annotates it as small nucleolar RNA SNORA5. The transcript has a single exon. The record is from RefSeq and is a predicted model, not a curated record. Lineage: Eukaryota; Metazoa; Chordata; Mammalia; Dermoptera; Cynocephalidae.